GUCAGACUUGUCAGAGUGCCAAACGCCGUUUUACAGCUCGACGGAGCAGGAGGACAACAGGCAGGGGGAGACACCUCCUAAUGAACACGUGGUGAUCAGAGAUCUGACCAUAACAUACCAGCAGUGUUACUGGUUUAUCUCUCAGACUGGAGAAGAUGAGUGG
Molecule: long non-coding RNA, 163 nt
Organism: Trematomus bernacchii (emerald rockcod)
Lineage: Eukaryota; Metazoa; Chordata; Actinopteri; Perciformes; Nototheniidae
Exons: 3
Source: RefSeq, a predicted model, not a curated record